Molecule: non-coding RNA, 322 nt
Organism: Bemisia tabaci
Lineage: Eukaryota; Metazoa; Arthropoda; Insecta; Hemiptera; Aleyrodidae
Source: RefSeq, a predicted model, not a curated record
GGUACAUUUUUUCUCAAGUAUUCGAACCAUGCACAAGCCAGAAAAUUCUAUUCAACUCUUGUGUCUUAAAUCCAGUUCAUAAAUUUAUUGAUGGCAAGAGUUGUCUGCUCUUCUCCUAUGGAACAACAAAUGCUGGAAAAACCCACACCAUACAUGGCUCAAAAAAAGAUCCAGGCAUCAUCCCACGUGUUCUGAGCAUAUUAUUUAAGAGCAUCAAACAAAAACAGUGCAAUGAAAUUCAGGGGAUUCAGUUCAGGCCAGAGUAUGGUAAUUCAAUUAGAGAAUUAAAAGAAGACGAAAUCAGAGAGCAAAUCGCCCUAAA